This 486-nucleotide ribosomal RNA is filed under the name uncultured bacterium. Its description in RNAcentral is "partial 16S ribosomal RNA". It matches the Rfam family "Bacterial small subunit ribosomal RNA", at positions 30 to 507 of the family's 1533-position model. The record is from RNAcentral.
AUUGAACGCUGGCGGCAUGCCUUACACAUGCAAGUCGAACGGCAGCACGGGUGCUUGCACCUGGUGGCGAGUGGCGAACGGGUGAGUAAUACAUCGGAACAUGUCCUGUAGUGGGGGAUAGCCCGGCGAAAGCCGGAUUAAUACCGCAUACGAUCUACGGAUGAAAGCGGGGGACCUUCGGGCCUCGCGCUAUAGGGUUGGCCGAUGGCUGAUUAGCUAGUUGGUGGGGUAAAGGCCUACCAAGGCGACGAUCAGUAGCUGGUCUGAGAGGACGACCAGCCACACUGGAACUGAGACACGGCCCAGACUCCUACGGGAGGCAGCAGUGGGGAAUUUUGGACAGUGGGCGAAAGCCUGAUCCAGCAAUGCCGCGUGUGUGAAGAAGGCCUUCGGGUUGUAAAGCACUUUUGUCCGGAAAGAAAUCCUUGGCCCUAAUACGGUCGGGGGAUGACGGUACCGGAAGAAUAAGCACCGGCUAACUACGUG